RNAcentral lists this long non-coding RNA (1307 nucleotides) under Oryza sativa (Asian cultivated rice). RNAcentral's name for it is "long non-coding RNA (OSAT_LNC000893)". The record is from RNAcentral. Lineage: Eukaryota; Viridiplantae; Streptophyta; Magnoliopsida; Poales; Poaceae.
GUCUGUGAAAUCUUUUUUCCCUCUUAUAUUAAAAUACAGUUUCUUUGCUUCUCACAUAAGCAUAGCUAUCUGCAGUAUCUUUUUUUAGUUAUACUUAUGGAUUUUAGUUGAUUGGUCCACUGAUCCUCUCUAUUUCAAGUAUUCUACCUCCUUAGAAUUCAAUUUUUUUUAGGUGUGGUAUUUAUUGAUCUUUAGCCUUGUUCAGUUAAUCUCCGAGAGGGAGGGAUUGGAGGGGAUUUAAGGGAAAUAAUUCUACACCACAAUAGCCUCCAAAUCCCCCUCAAUCCCCUUAUGAGAGGGAUUAACCGAACAAGGCCUCUUAGUGGAACUGAAACUUGACUGACUAUUCUUCAAUACAAAACACAAUUACACACCUUCUAACAGUAGCAUUGCACUGGACAUAUCCACUUUGAUUUGGAGGGCCAGUCAAUAACGCUAACGAAAUUAUUUAGUUGUAGAACUAACUGGGAACUUUCUGUUACAACUGAAUCUUAAUGAUAGGAAAAAAUGAGAUCAUUGCCACUCUAAUCUUAAGGAUAUGAUGCUGGAUCUUUCCUAUCCAAGCAGCUAACUCUAUUUUUCUGGCAUGUGACUACAGUCCACAGAUCGGUUAGCAUCAAAUGCUUAAUGGUCUCCUUCGUUAUUUUAGUGGAAGAUAAAUUAAUAGCUGAUAUCAAGUUGGUUAUUUCCAACCCAAGUAAUAAACCUAUUAAUUUGUAGCUGUUUAUUACUAAUCGGUAAAUCUAAUAAAUAAUGCAUCUAUCAUUUUUAUGGUCUUGAAACUUGAAAGCCACAUUAAAGGUUAAACCACAUUAAGGUUGCUUCCCAUCACUUACAUGCCCUGCAAGAAUAAUGACUGUACACGUUAAUGUAAUUAUAUUUUUACAUAUUCUAUUAUGAAAGAACAGACCUAGAUCAGAUUAGGGAUACAAUCAAAAUAUACAGGAAUAAUGACUGUACACAUUAAUGUAAUUAUAUUAGUACAUAUUCUAUUAUGAAAGAACAGACCUAGAUCGGAUUAGGGAUACAAUCAAAAUAUACAGGAAUAAUGACUGUACACAUUAAUGUAAUUAUAUUUUUUACAUAUUCUAUUUUGAAAGAACAAACCUAGAGAUAGGAUUAGGGAUACAAUCAAAAUAGAAGAAUAUCAGGAGACAGGACUUGUCACCUUAUUGGGGUUGUCGCUGUUCCUCUCAAUUCCACAAAAAGUCAAUUCAAUCGGCAUUGAUCUUCACUGGAAUCUGGAUGCUGCUGACUCCAUCUGCAUCAAAGAAACUUAUACGGGAUCACUUUUUCUACAUGCAGGU